This 327-nucleotide long non-coding RNA is filed under the name Phoenix dactylifera (date palm). Its description in RNAcentral is "long non-coding RNA (PDAC_LNC000917)". The record is from RNAcentral. Lineage: Eukaryota; Viridiplantae; Streptophyta; Magnoliopsida; Arecales; Arecaceae.
GGCACCAUGGAAGAGGGGCAAGAGACCUCGAACUGGAUGGUGGAGUCGGAGGCAGCAAAUAAAAUUGGAGAUGGAGAGAAAGGGGCUGAGUGAUGGUGAGGAGAGAUGACCGAAGAUCUGAAGCUGAGAAGAAAAGCAGUGUAGAGGAGCUGCAGAUCCAUAAAAAAUAAAGAAUCUUCGGGUAUUAAUCUACCAGAAAUAUAAUAUAUGCAGAUCUACUAAGAAAUAUGAUAUUUUCGGAUGUUGAUUUACUAGAAAAAGAGAAUUUGUGGAAAAUAGAGGAUCUGUGGAUCCACCGAAAAAUAGAGAAUCUUCGGAUGUUGAUUC